RNAcentral lists this ribosomal RNA (235 nucleotides) under uncultured Staphylococcus sp. Its description in RNAcentral is "partial 16S ribosomal RNA". It matches the Rfam family "Bacterial small subunit ribosomal RNA", at positions 105 to 334 of the family's 1533-position model. The record is from RNAcentral. Lineage: Bacteria; Bacillati; Bacillota; Bacilli; Caryophanales; Staphylococcaceae.
GGUGAGUAACACGUGGAUAACCUACCUAUAAGACUGGGAUAACUUCGGGAAACCGGAGCUAAUACCGGAUAACAUGUUGAACCGCAUGGUUCAACAGUGAAAGACGGUCUUGCUGUCACUUAUAGAUGGAUCCGCGCCGCAUUAGCUAGUUGGUAAGGUAACGGCUUACCAAGGCAGUGAUACGUAGCCGACUUGAGAGGGUGAUCGGCCACACUGGGACUGAGACACGGCCCAG